RNAcentral lists this long non-coding RNA (944 nucleotides) under Volvox carteri. RNAcentral's name for it is "long non-coding RNA (VCAR_LNC004216)". Lineage: Eukaryota; Viridiplantae; Chlorophyta; Chlorophyceae; Chlamydomonadales; Volvocaceae. The record is from RNAcentral.
UUUAGUUCCCCUAAAGGGGAUGAACUAAAGGGGGAAGAAGGGGAAGGGGGGGUAAGGAAGCCAAGCUAGCUUACUCACAAUUGCGAAGCUAUGUAGUUGUAACGUGCGCUCUUGUUUGGCGAAUAGCGCAGCUCCGCUGCGGUAACAUAAUUGUUACAAUAAUGCACCUUACAGUGAGUUUAUAAUUAUAUUUCGUUUAGGCUCCGUUGUGACGACUAAAUACUAUUCCCCAAGGAACUCAAGUUGUGAGGGCCCUUGUCCCGAACUAUCCGGUUGUAAACUGGUUGGUAAACUUUACGACAUUAGGGGCUACGCCCCGAACUACAUACAAGCCAACAAGUCCGUUGGGCGUAACAUGUGCACUGGUUGUCCCCCUUCGGUUCCUUCCCUUUUUGUUCAUCCCCUAAAGGGGAACUAAAGGGGACGGAGGGGUUCCCCUUUAGGGGAAGAAAAGCUAGGAGCACCGCACCGGUAUGACGGAGGUAUGUUGUAGCUGUUUCAACGGACUUUGGUUUGUUUUAGUUUCACGACAAAGUAGUCACGGCGGAGCCAAAACUACAACUAGGUUUAGACUAUGUUAGGUUCCAGUAAAGAGUUAGGAAACAACUACAUUGUAGCUUAUGUUGGUAUAGUUAAUCCCGAAGGGCAUGUCAGCGGCAUCUUUGGCUGUCCCUUCUUCUUCCCCUUUAGGGGACUUCUUCCCCUUUAGUGUUCCCCAAAGGGGAGACGAAGGGGAAGAACUAAAGGGGACGGCAUCCCCUAGGGUAACCUUUGGUUCAUCCCCUAAAGGGGAACUAAAGGGUAACAAACUUUGGGUUUCCGAAGGGAAGGGGAAGGCACCCCUUUAGUUCAUCCCCUAAAGGGUUUCCAAAGUUUGUUCCCCUUUAGGGGAAGACAACCCCUUUGGGUUCCCCCCCCAAAGGUUACCCUAGGGGAUGACGUCC